Molecule: long non-coding RNA, 641 nt
Organism: Mauremys reevesii (Reeves's turtle)
Lineage: Eukaryota; Metazoa; Chordata; Testudines; Geoemydidae
Exons: 3
Source: RefSeq, a predicted model, not a curated record
GAGAGAAUCCCAGCUCUGCUAUACUCACCAUCAGCUUAAGAGCUAGUGAGAGAAAUUCAGUACAGAUGACAUUGCCCAUGCACUACAAUAAUUACUUUCUCCAUGGCCCACCAACGGCUACGACCCUGAGGAGAGCACUUCAGGAAGCAAAAGAGACAGAAAAUGCUAUACUGGACCAAAUAGCAUUGGUACCUCCCUCCAAUACCCCACAGCACAAAGAAGAAUAAGAAGCCCUGACUAUUUGAGCAAUCAUCUGCAAAACAGAUCUAUGCUCUCCUGGCUGGUGAAGAACUAUGCAUAAUGAUUACAGAAAUAAUCCAUACCUCCUCCAGAGAAGCUAAAACUGCCAAUACUAGAACUUUCCAGAAAAGUACAAUAAGUGCACCUGAUCUCCCCCAACAAAAAAAAAAGCCACACACACACACACACACCAUUUGUUGCAAAAAAACUCACCUCUCCAACUAUUCCCCUAACUGACCAAUCCUAGGUAAAAUGAUUGAGAAAGUGGUGACAAUCUGUCACAGGGUCCACUCACCACAAAGGUGCUUCCUCCUGGCUGUUCAGGGGAUUGUCUCUUUCUAGGUCCAGUGCCCCAGUCCUGUUUGUUCGCAUGCCCUGCUGCCUGCCCCACCCCACACCCA